RNAcentral lists this ribosomal RNA (253 nucleotides) under uncultured bacterium. Its description in RNAcentral is "partial 16S ribosomal RNA". It matches the Rfam family "Bacterial small subunit ribosomal RNA", at positions 524 to 776 of the family's 1533-position model. The record is from RNAcentral.
UACGUAGGGUGCGAGCGUUAAUCGGAAUUACUGGGCGUAAAGCGUGCGCAGGCGGCUUUGUAAGCCAGAUGUGAAAUCCCCGGGCUCAACCUGGGAACUGCAUUUGGGACUGCAAGGCUAGAGUACGGCAGAGGGGGGUAGAAUUCCUGGUGUAGCAGUGAAAUGCGUAGAUAUCAGGAGGAAUACCGAUGGCGAAGGCAGCCCCCUGGGUCGAUACUGACGCUCAUGCACGAAAGCGUGGGGAGCAAACAGG